GGACGAACGCUGGCGGCGUGCUUAACACAUGCAAGUCGAACGGGGUGAUUUAAGCUUGCUUAGAUGAGCCUAGUGGCAAACGGGUGAGUAACGCGUAGGCAACCUGCCUCUAAGAUGGGGACAACAGUCCGAAAGGACUGCUAAUACCGAAUGUUGUGAGUUUUCCGCAUGGAAGACUCAUUAAAGAUGGCCUCUACUUGUAAGCUAUCACUUAGAGAUGGGCCUGCGUCUGAUUAGCUAGUUGGCGGGGUAACGGCCCACCAAGGCGACGAUCAGUAGCCGGUCUGAGAGGAUGAACGGCCACAUUGGGACUGAGACACGGCCCAGACUCCUACGGGAGGCAGCAGUGGGGAAUCUUCCGCAAUGGGCGAAAGCCUGACGGAGCAACGCCGCGUGAGUGAAGAAGGUCUUCGGAUCGUAAAGCUCUGUCGAAGGGACGAACGUGGGUUCUAUCAACAACGGAACCUAAUGACGGUACCUUUCAAGAAAGCCACGGCUAACUACGUGCCAGCCGCCGC
This 518-nucleotide ribosomal RNA is filed under the name uncultured bacterium. RNAcentral describes it as "bacterial SSU rRNA". It matches the Rfam family "Bacterial small subunit ribosomal RNA", at positions 27 to 518 of the family's 1533-position model. The record is from RNAcentral.